UGAGGAAUAUUGCGCAAUGGCCGAAAGGCUGACGCAGCGACGCCGCGUGCAGGAUGAAGGCCUUCGGGUUGUAAACUGCUUUUUGUACGGAACGAAAAGACUCUGGUUAAUACCUGGGGUCCAUGACGGUACCGUAAGAAUAAGCACCGGCUAACUACGUGCCAGCAGCCGCGGUAAUACGUAGGGUGCGAGCGUUAAUCGGAAUUACUGGGCGUAAAGCGUGCGCAGGCGGUUAUAUAAGACAGAUGUGAAAUCCCCGGGCUCAACCUGGGAACUGCAUUUGUGACUGUAUAGCUAGAGUACGGUAGAGGGGGAUGGAAUUCCGCGUGUAGCAGUGAAAUGCGUAGAUAUGCGGAGGAACACCGAUGGCGAAGGCAAUCCCCUGGACCUGUACUGACGCUCAUGCACGAAAGCGUGGGGAGCAAACAGGAUUAGAUACCCCGGUAGUCCCUGAGCGGGCUGGCAAGGCGCAU
RNAcentral lists this ribosomal RNA (473 nucleotides) under uncultured bacterium. RNAcentral's name for it is "bacterial SSU rRNA". It matches the Rfam family "Bacterial small subunit ribosomal RNA", at positions 355 to 825 of the family's 1533-position model. The record is from RNAcentral.